AGUCGGUUUCCAUCACGUCAAUUGCUAUCAGAGCAACGCAUGAUGUAUAAUAACUAAGCGUCGCUCUGAUACCAAAUUGAUGCAAUGGAAACAUCGAUU
RNAcentral lists this microRNA precursor (99 nucleotides) under Arabidopsis thaliana (thale cress). RNAcentral describes it as "miR845b stem-loop (ath-MIR845b)". Its record names the gene ath-MIR845b. The stretch from base 6 to 92 matches the Rfam family "MIR845_1 microRNA precursor family". Lineage: Eukaryota; Viridiplantae; Streptophyta; Magnoliopsida; Brassicales; Brassicaceae. The record is from miRBase by way of RNAcentral.